GGUAUGGAGCUGGGUAAUAAAUUAGCUGAUCUCGAGGAGCUGCGUACAAUGUGGGAAGACCUAGAACUGGAGAGGAAGAUUUCUACUAAUGUAGCAGAGGAAAAAUCCAUCACAACAAAGCGUGGGGAACCCUGCUUUUGGAAAUACUGUGUCUGACACUGACUAAAGGGGAAGAUAACCACCAUGGAAACUUGCUGCAGUGUUCAGCAUAGCCUUAAAACCUGCUAACACCAGUAAUUUAACUACCCUGUAUUUAUUCCAGCAAUAUAGCAAUGUACAUUUCAUGUACCUCCUAGAUACUGUCAUGAAGCCCCAGAGUGAUGUUACUGUGUAUAUUGUCUGACAGGAAUUUUAUUAUGUAACAAACUGAAUCUAUUUUACCUCAUCUGGAUUUCUAAUUUAACUAUGUUUGUGUUUUCAUUGCCCUCAUCUGGCAGAACU
Long non-coding RNA from Cyprinodon variegatus (sheepshead minnow), 441 nucleotides. RefSeq lists it as uncharacterized. NCBI's taxonomy places the organism in Eukaryota, Metazoa, Chordata, Actinopteri, Cyprinodontiformes, Cyprinodontidae. The record is from RefSeq and is a predicted model, not a curated record. The transcript has 3 exons.